Molecule: non-coding RNA, 317 nt
Organism: Vibrio sp.
Lineage: Bacteria; Pseudomonadati; Pseudomonadota; Gammaproteobacteria; Vibrionales; Vibrionaceae
Source: Rfam
CCACCCAAUGCACCGCCAACACCCGCUUCGGUGUUGCCUGCAAAGGCUUGUCCAGCACUAAGGCCGAGGGUCAGUAACAGAAUUGAUGAGUACUUCAUAUCAGCUCGCUCAAGUGGAUAUCACGCGCCGAUCCUCAUGUUUGUGUGCUGUGUCAGGCAAGCAAAACCCGACGAAUAGUCGGGUUUGCGCACAUAAUUUAACUAUCUGUUUUUAAACAAGAACUUUUGUGAAAACGGGCAGUCUUAAACCUGUUUAGGGCAUUUGAGUUCGCCUGUUUUCAGGCCGUUUUAUGCGCUUUUAACCUCAGAUAAUGCGCU